This is a long non-coding RNA of Rosa chinensis, 313 nucleotides long. RefSeq lists it as uncharacterized. The record is from RefSeq and is a predicted model, not a curated record. The transcript has 3 exons. NCBI's taxonomy places the organism in Eukaryota, Viridiplantae, Streptophyta, Magnoliopsida, Rosales, Rosaceae.
AAGUGUCUUGCUUAGGAGGAAAAAGGGGGGCCUUACAAGUCAUCAAUUGCAUUACUUCAAGCUACAAAUUUAGAUGCUAGGUUAACCUUGCAUAUGAAAUGAAUGGACAGCCUCUAAACAGGGAUCAUGGCUAUCCUCUGUGUGUAAUUGUUCCUGGUGUGAUUGGUUCUCGAUCUGUAAAAUGGCUUAGUUCCAUCAAUAUUAUUGAAAAUGAAUGCCAGGGAUUUUUUACGCAAAGGGACUGUAAAAUGUUUCCUCCUGCAGUAAACUGGGAAAAUAUAGAAUGGUCAACUAGAAGGCCUCAGAUGGAUUU